Molecule: ribosomal RNA, 449 nt
Filed under: uncultured bacterium
Lineage: Bacteria
Description: partial 16S ribosomal RNA
Rfam family: Bacterial small subunit ribosomal RNA
Source: RNAcentral
AACGAACGCUGGCGGCAGGCUUAACACAUGCAAGUCGAACGCAUCCUUCGGGGUGAGUGGCAGACGGGUGAGUAACGCGUGGGAAUCUACCCAUCUCUGCGGAAUAGCUCCGGGCAACUGGAAUUAAUACCGCAUACGCCCUACGGGGGAAAGAUUUAUCGGGGAUGGAUGAGCCCGCGUUGGAUUAGCUAGUUGGUGGGGUAAAGGCCAACCAAGGCGACGAUCCAUAGCUGGUCUGAGAGGAUGAUCAGCCACAUUGGGACUGAGACACGGCGCAAACUACUACGGGAGGCAGCAGUGGGGAAUAUUGGACAAUGGGCGCAAGCCGGAUCCAGCCAUGCCGCGUGAGUGAGGAAGGCCUUAGGGUUGUAAAGCUCUUUCACCGAUGAAGAUAAUGACGGUAGUCGGAGAAGAAGCCCCGGCUAACUUCGUGCCAGCCGCCGCGGUAA